Molecule: ribosomal RNA, 1588 nt
Filed under: Salmonella enterica subsp. enterica serovar Mbandaka
Lineage: Bacteria; Pseudomonadati; Pseudomonadota; Gammaproteobacteria; Enterobacterales; Enterobacteriaceae
Description: partial 23S ribosomal RNA
Rfam family: Bacterial large subunit ribosomal RNA
Source: RNAcentral
GGGUUGUGAGGUUAAGCGACUAAGCGUACACGGUGGAUGCCCUGGCAGUCAGAGGCGAUGAAGGGCGUGCUAAUCUGCGAUAAGCGCCGGUAAGGUGAUAUGAACCGUUAUAACCGGCGAUACCCGAAUGGGGAAACCCAGUGUGACUCGUCACACUAUCAUUAACUGAAUCCAUAGGUUAAUGAGGCGAACCGGGGGAACUGAAACAUCUAAGUACCCCGAGGAAAAGAAAUCAACCGAGAUUCCCCCAGUAGCGGCGAGCGAACGGGGAGGAGCCCAGAGCCUGAAUCAGCAUGUGUGUUAGUGGAAGCGUCUGGAAAGGCGCGCGAUACAGGGUGACAGCCCCGUACACAAAAGCGCAUGUGCUGUGAGCUCGAUGAGUAGGGCGGGACACGUGGUAUCCUGUCUGAAUAUGGGGGGACCAUCCUCCAAGGCUAAAUACUCCUGACUGACCGAUAGUGAACCAGUACCGUGAGGGAAAGGCGAAAAGAACCCCGGCGAGGGGAGUGAAAAAGAACCUGAAACCGUGUACGUACAAGCAGUGGGAGCCCCACCACUAAGCCAGUGGUGAACUCCACAUACGCAUCCUUUGCUGAGGAUACGGUUAACGGAGCGAAAGCGACGUUCAACCUCAAAAGAAGCAGAGGGGGCUUAGUGGUGGGGUGACUGCGUACCUUUUGUAUAAUGGGUCAGCGACUUAUAUUCUGUAGCAAGGUUAACCGAAUAGGGGAGCCGGAGGGAAACCGAGUCUUAACCGGGCGUUAAGUUGCAGGGUAUAGACCCGAAACCCGGUGAUCUAGCCAUGGGCAGGUUGAAGGUUGGGUAACACUAACUGGAGGACCGAACCGACUAAUGUUGAAAAAUUAGCGGAUGACCUGUGGCUGGGGGUGAAAGGCCAAUCAAACCGGGAGAUAGCUGGUUCUCCCCGAAAGCUAUUUAGGUAGCGCCUCGUGAACUCAUCUCCGGGGGUAGAGCACUGUUUCGGCUAGGGGGCCAUCCCGGCUUACCAACCCGAUGCAAACUGCGAAUACCGGAGAAUGUUAUCACGGGAGACACACGGCGGGUGCUAACGUCCGUCGUGAAGAGGGAAACAACCCAGACCGCCAGCUAAGGUCCCAAAGUCAUGGUUAAGUGGGAAACGAUGUGGGAAGGCCCAGACAGCCAGGAUGUUGGCUUAGAAGCAGCCAUCAUUUAAAGAAAGCGUAAUAGCUCACUGGUCGAGUCGGCCUGCGCGGAAGAUGUAACGGGGCUAAACCAUGCACCGAAGCUGCGGCAGCGACACUGUGUGUUGUUGGGUAGGGGAGCGUUCUGUAAGCCUGUGAAGGUGGCCUGUGAGGGUUGCUGGAGGUAUCAGAAGUGCGAAUGCUGACAUAAGUAACGAUAAAGCGGGUGAAAAGCCCGCUCGCCGGAAGACCAAGGGUUCCUGUCCAACGUUAAUCGGGGCAGGGUGAGUCGACCCCUAAGGCGAGGCCGAAAGGCGUAGUCGAUGGGAAACGGGUUAAUAUUCCCGUACUUGGUGUUACUGCGAAGGGGGGACGGAGAAGGCUAUGUUGGCCGGGCGACGGUUGUCCCGGUUUAAGCGUGUAGG